Long non-coding RNA from Mytilus californianus (California mussel), 1703 nucleotides. RefSeq lists it as uncharacterized. The record is from RefSeq and is a predicted model, not a curated record. The transcript is spliced from 2 exons. Lineage: Eukaryota; Metazoa; Mollusca; Bivalvia; Mytilida; Mytilidae.
CCAUAUAGCUUUGAACUAAUUUUCACGCUCAAGUAGUCAGGGGAGUGUUCAGGUAUAAGCCAUUUGUUGGGUAACUAUUUGCGACCGGUGACAAGUAUUUGAUAUUUCUUUAAUUCUGAGCUCAUUUAUACUUCCCCGAAAGUUUUUGAUACCAGUUCUUCAUUGGUAUAAAUAAAAUUCUGAGUCAUAUUGUCUUGCUUUCUUCUAGUUUCCUGUUGUGUCAAGACAAAAACAACAAUGCAAUGAUGAUGACUCACAAAAAGAACACAUUCCUCUUACAAAUCAUGGAAAAGUAUGCCUGCAUAAAAAAGAUCAUCAGAGAAAUAGAUUUUACACCGUAUCAAAUGCAAUACCAUAUAAAAAUUUCGAAUCGUAAAUUUAUAAAUUGAACUGUUGAGAGGAAAACUAUGGUAUCUAAUUCGACGCAGUGGGAGAGCUUAUAUCUAUUGUGAGCCGUAUACGUCAGUCGGAUAUUAAAUUAUAUCUUUGUCUUAUUAUCAUUAUUUAGUGGUAACAUCAUCUAGUUACAAUAUAUGUAUAUUUUUUUGUUAAAGUUUACCAAGAAACAUAUUUACUUCCUAGAAUUUUUAGUUCCUUGUGCGGUCUUAAGGGGGAAAUUAUUUUUUAAUACAUCCAUGAUAUAUAUGUUAUGAAGGUCAUUCACGUUGUUAUGUCAUUAAUUACGGGCGCUAAUAUACAUGUACUAUUUAAAACAAUUAAAACAAGAUACUAUUUAUAUUCUACACAAGAGGAUGUAAAUUUCAUACAAUAAAAAUGCAUUGGACAGAUAAGAUCGUGUUUUUUGUUUCAUAUGUGAGUUUAUUAAACGGGAUUUAUGCCGCAACACCUUCAAGCUGUUCUGAUAUUCGUGUAGUAGACCUAUCUCAUGUACAUGGACCCAAACCUCUCACUGCUCCAUUCUUUCCAGCAUACAGUUUUGAAAUUGUAAACAGAUCUAUCAGCCAGGCACUUGGGGGUAAUUGGUUUGAGACUAACUAUAUUGGUACAUCUGAACACAGUGGAACCCACAUAGAUGCUCCUUCUCACUUCUACAGAAACAGAAAACGCAUGCACGAGAUUCCACUGGACAAGUUAUAUGGGCCUGGAGUUAUAAUAGAUAUUAGGAGACAGGUUUCGGGAAACGUGAAUUACAGAGUAAAAGUAUCGGACAUAAAACGAUGGGAGGCAACUCAUGGCCGAAUACCGAAGGGGGCAGUCAUUCUGUUUAAUUCCGGCUGGUCUAGUAGAUACCCAGAUCCAUUUACAGUGUUCAAUACUCAAAACACUUCUGAUGUUUCAUCAUACCAAUUUCCAUCCUAUGAAUUCAAAGCAAUUACAUUUUUAGCGAAAUUUCGUUCUGUUAACAUUGUGGGAAGUGACACUCCGUCUAUUGGCGACUCACCUCCGGGUAAAGUUGAUUUGUCAAAUUUUACAUUUCUAUUUCAAAGAAACAUACCUGUGGUGUUGAAUGUUGCCAAUCUUGACAGACUCCCUCUUUCAGGAUCGACAAUAUUUGUCCCUGCUAUCAACAUAUACGAUGGAAGUGGUGCACCGGCCAGAAUUUUUGCAACAGUUCCAGCGUCAAAAAUGAAAAAUAUAUAUUAAAUAAAACGUAAUGAUUAACAUUAAAAUUUUGUACAAUGUUUAACAUUUAAAAUCGUUUCCUUUUGUUGACUUAAUUUGCCAUUAAAACUUUUUUUAUU